RNAcentral lists this ribosomal RNA (89 nucleotides) under Phyllophaga bipartita. RNAcentral's name for it is "partial 5.8S ribosomal RNA". Lineage: Eukaryota; Metazoa; Arthropoda; Insecta; Coleoptera; Scarabaeidae. RNAcentral also lists the same sequence under 18 other names. The record is from RNAcentral.
CGACAUUUCGAACGCACAUUGCGGUCCUCGGAUACUGUUCCCGGACCACUCCUGGCUGAGGGUCGUUUCAACGUUCUAGACUGCGCGGU